This 253-nucleotide ribosomal RNA is filed under the name uncultured bacterium. RNAcentral describes it as "partial 16S ribosomal RNA". It matches the Rfam family "Bacterial small subunit ribosomal RNA", at positions 524 to 776 of the family's 1533-position model. The record is from RNAcentral.
UACGUAGGGUGCGAGCGUUGUCCGGAAUUAUUGGGCGUAAAGAGCUCGUAGGCGGCUUGUCGCGUCGGAUGUGAAAGCUCGGGGCUUAACUCCGGGUCUGCAUUCGAUACGGGCAGGCUAGAGUUCGGUAGGGGAGAUCGGAAUUCCUGGUGUAGCGGUGAAAUGCGCAAAUAUCAGGAGGAACACCGGUGGCGAAGGCGGAUCUCUGGGCCGAUACUGACGCUGAGGAGCGAAAGCGUGGGGAGCGAACAGG